UUGGAGCAAAGGGGGCAGAUGCAGUUAUGCAUCUGUGGCACGCCAUUACGGCGUGAAUGAAUCUACAGUGCGCUACAUCAAGAAAGAAGAAGCAAACAUCACCUUCAACAAGGAAGCGAAGCGUGUGGUAACUCCGCGUAAGAGAAUUGUGAAAAUGGAAGCUGCAUUGGCAUUGUGGAUUGCAGGGAAAAGACAUCUGCUUUGGCGCUGCUACAAAAAAGGACAAACUCCGACUGCGACGGACAAUCAAAACUGCUGAAAGGAUUGUCGUACCCCCCUACCCGCCCUUGAGGACUUGCACGCUGCCAGAACUAAGACAAGAGCGUGCAAAAUCCUCUCGGACGCUCCGCAUCCCGGUCACCGGCUCUUCCGGCUCCUUCCCUCAGGGAAGUAGUAGUAGUCUGUGUCGCAACGCCCUUGCUCCGCGCUUGCUUGUCAUGCUAAGCACCUUUGACUUACUUCGAGGUCCAGAGCCUGUGUGGAAGUAGGAGAAAAGGGAGUCCAGCUCAUCGGGACAAAACAAGGACUCUCUUCGAGACUUGGCAGCAACUAAAAAACAAGGAGCCCGCCCAACGGAAACCACUAAUCGGCAUAAACAAGGCUGAUGACGGGCAGGAACCUGAGAAGAGGCUGGACGGAGAAGUGCUCCGUGGCUCCUGUCGGUACCUCCGCCAUGUCUUCGGUACCGUGGUGGCGCUGUU
Molecule: long non-coding RNA, 701 nt
Organism: Phyllopteryx taeniolatus (common seadragon)
Lineage: Eukaryota; Metazoa; Chordata; Actinopteri; Syngnathiformes; Syngnathidae
Exons: 4
Source: RefSeq, a predicted model, not a curated record